UUGCAAACUCAGUCACUACACUAGCUCUGCAUGGUGUUGCAGAAGCAAGGGGAACAUAUUUGAUAAAAUAAACAUGGUCAUAUAUUCGAAUAUGAAUCCCAAUA
Molecule: small nucleolar RNA, 104 nt
Organism: Zonotrichia leucophrys gambelii
Lineage: Eukaryota; Metazoa; Chordata; Aves; Passeriformes; Passerellidae
Source: RefSeq, a predicted model, not a curated record